This 75-nucleotide transfer RNA is filed under the name Acidobacteriota bacterium. Its description in RNAcentral is "Acidobacteria bacterium tRNA-Lys". It matches the Rfam family "tRNA". From Rfam's summary of the family: Transfer RNA (tRNA) molecules are approximately 80 nucleotides in length. Their secondary structure includes four short double-helical elements and three loops (D, anti-codon, and T loops). Lineage: Bacteria; Pseudomonadati; Acidobacteriota. The record is from RNAcentral. RNAcentral also lists the same sequence under 3 other names.
GGGCCCGUAGCUCAGUGGUAGAGCAGCUGGCUUUUAACCAGUUGGUCGUAGGUUCGAUCCCUACCGGGCUCACCA